RNAcentral lists this ribosomal RNA (253 nucleotides) under uncultured bacterium. RNAcentral's name for it is "partial 16S ribosomal RNA". It matches the Rfam family "Bacterial small subunit ribosomal RNA", at positions 524 to 776 of the family's 1533-position model. The record is from RNAcentral.
UACAGAGGUCUCAAGCGUUGUUCGGAUUCAUUGGGCGUAAAGGGUGCGUAGGCGGCGCGGUAAGUCGGGUGUGAAAUCUCGGAGCUUAACUCCGAAACUGCAUUCGAUACUGCCGUGCUUGAGGACUGGAGAGGAGACUGGAAUUUACGGUGUAGCGGUGAAAUGCGUAGAUAUCGUAAGGAAGACCAGUGGCGAAGGCGGCCAUCUGGACGUCAACUGACGCUGAGACGCGAAAGCGUGGGUAGCAAACAGG